Brassica napus (rape) is the source of this 1060-nucleotide long non-coding RNA. RefSeq lists it as uncharacterized. Lineage: Eukaryota; Viridiplantae; Streptophyta; Magnoliopsida; Brassicales; Brassicaceae. The transcript has 3 exons. The record is from RefSeq and is a predicted model, not a curated record.
CCUCUUCACUCGAUCUGCUAAUGAUUUCUGAAGAUUCUCUCCAAAUCCAGCAUCCGAGGUGGAUCCAUUGCAUCUGGAUUACUUCGAGUUCACUGGUCGUGUGAUUGCUUUAGCUUUGAUGCACAAAGUUCAAGUAGGGGUGCUAUUCGACCGUGUUUUCUUCCUGCAGUUGACCGGAAAGAAAAUUGGUUUGGAAGAUAUCAAGAACACGGAUCGGAUCAUGUACAACAGCUGCAAACAGAUUCUAGAGAUGGAUCCAGAGUGUUUCGAUUCAGACGCAGGUCUUGGUCUAACAUUUGUGUCUGAAACCGAGGUGCUGGGAAAAAGGGAAACAAAAGAGCUGCUUAAAGAUGGAAAGUCCAUUGCCGUUACAGGGAACAAUACGUCAAUCUACUAAUCAAACAUCGAUUCGCCACAUCAGUCACUGAGCAAGUAAAUAAGUUUUCUCAGGGCUUCUCGGAUAUCCUUGCAGAUACUGCAUGCUUUUUCAAGCGAUUACACGUAGAGGACUUCGAUUGCAUGCUUGGCGGAGGAGAUAACCUGAUAAGCAUAGAUGAUUGGAAAGCUCAUACAGAGUUCAGUGGAUUCAAAAAGACUGAACGCAUGGCUGGUUCUGGAAGAUUUUGAAGAAAAUGACAGAGGAAGAACGGAGGAGUGUACUCUUCUUUUGGACAUCGACUAGGUUUAUACCAGUGGAAGGGUUUAGAGGGUUAUCAUCAAAGCUUUAUAUAUACAGAUUGCAUGAAGCUAAGGAUCAUCUUCCGACGUCGCCUACUUGCUUUUACCGUCUCUGUUUGCCAAAAUACCCCAAGAUUGGUCUCAUGGAAAAACGACUUGGACUAAUCGCUCAAGAUCAUGUCAGCUCCAGUUUCGGUCAAUGGUAAUUCACUUAUCAAAGAAUGUAAUAUAUCUGAUCUUUAGGUUGGUAGACUGGUGCGUUUGGUGUAUAUAUUUAGCUGUAGUCAUACUCUGUUUAUGACCGGGAUAAUAAGGUUAAACCUUUCUUAAUUAUUGUUUCUAUAACUUAUGAAAAGGAGGAGAAUCAACUUUUGAACAGACA